UACGAAGGGUGCAAGCGUUAAUCGGAAUUACUGGGCGUAAAGCGCGCGUAGGCGGUUUGGUAAGUGUGAUGUGAAAUCCCCGGGCUCAACCUGGGAACUGCAUCACAUACUGCCAAGCUAGAGUACGGUAGAGGGGGGUAGAAUUCCACGUGUAGCGGUGAAAUGCGUAGAGAUGUGGAGGAAUACCAGUGGCGAAGGCGGCCCCCUGGAUCGAUACUGACGCUGAGGUGCGAAAGCGU
Molecule: ribosomal RNA, 239 nt
Filed under: uncultured bacterium
Lineage: Bacteria
Description: partial 16S ribosomal RNA
Rfam family: Bacterial small subunit ribosomal RNA
Source: RNAcentral